Triticum aestivum (bread wheat) is the source of this 869-nucleotide long non-coding RNA. RefSeq lists it as uncharacterized. The transcript is spliced from 5 exons. Lineage: Eukaryota; Viridiplantae; Streptophyta; Magnoliopsida; Poales; Poaceae. The record is from RefSeq and is a predicted model, not a curated record.
GCGCACAAUUGCCAUUCGAGUCCCCCGCUCCUAACUAUUUUCCUCCUGACACCCUUCUUCUUCGAGUCCCUCAGCGGCAGCGCAAGCCCCCUCCAACCCUAUCCCUCCGCCGCACCAGGCCGAUGCCGCCGCCCGCCGAUGAUGAUUGGCGAGCUCCUAGAGGAUCUACUCCUUACUUCCUUAGACAGUAGCCGCUGAUACAGCACGCCGCCCGCCCGACCGCGAACCCCCUUGCAACGGCGACGUAUCCAUGACCACGGUGAUCACUUUGGAGCUGUAGCCAUUUUUUUGCGACAAAGCUGUAGAAGAAAUUUAGAUGCCAAACCAGAUCAAGUUUGAGAUCCAGUGAUGGAGGGGAGCAGUGCGACGUUGCCUUUAGUAAAGCUGAUAGUUCCAAUUAUCUCAGCAUGUGCACCAGCACUAUCAGCCAUGGAAUUUGUCAGCAGUGCUCAAAAUCAACAUUAAUUCCUCAAUGCUUCUCAUUGAUGAUUCCAGUAUACCGAAAAAGAAACAAUCAUUCUCUCAAGAGGACAAGAAGCUCGAUGAACAAGAAGCAUUGCAUCUAGAGGCAACUGUCGUGUGCCAUCAAGAUAUCAACGUUGAUGCAAUUUUUAAUGGCAAUUCUUGUUGAGCAAUGAUUAUUAUACUCCUUCAGACUUAGCCUUGCCCGUUAUGUACCAAAGCUGAUGCAAUUUUCACUAGCAAGGCUUGUUGAUCCUGUCAUGUUAUUUAUAACUUGAUAUGAAUGUAUUUUGUUAUGUCUGGGAUGUUCCACUUUGACAUGUACUAAACAAAUUAGUAUUUGUGCCUGGAAUGGUCCAUUUUAACAUAAAGUGCCUGUGCCUAUGAUGGUGGCUUAAUUUUUGUCA